GCCCUCGUAGCUCAGCGGAUAGAGCAGCUGCCUUCUAAGCAGUUGGUCGGGGGUUCAAUUCCCUCCGGGGGCGCCA
Molecule: transfer RNA, 76 nt
Filed under: Dehalococcoidia bacterium
Lineage: Bacteria; Bacillati; Chloroflexota; Dehalococcoidia
Description: tRNA-Arg
Rfam family: tRNA
About the family: Transfer RNA (tRNA) molecules are approximately 80 nucleotides in length. Their secondary structure includes four short double-helical elements and three loops (D, anti-codon, and T loops).
Source: RNAcentral